RNAcentral lists this ribosomal RNA (478 nucleotides) under uncultured bacterium. RNAcentral's name for it is "bacterial SSU rRNA". It matches the Rfam family "Bacterial small subunit ribosomal RNA", at positions 28 to 507 of the family's 1533-position model. The record is from RNAcentral.
GAUGAACGCUAGGCGGGAGGCUUAACACAUGCAAGUCGAGGGGUAGGGGAGCAAUCCCCGAGACCGGCGGACGGGUGCGUAACGCGUAUGCAACUUGCCUUAUACAGGGGGAUAGCCCGUGGAAAACGCGGAUUAAUACCCCAUAUGUCAUUUGGGUCGCAUGGUCUGGAUGAUAAAACUGAGGUGGUAUAAGAUGGGCAUGCGUCUGAUUAGCUGGUUGGUAAGGUAACGGCUUACCAAGGCGACGAUCAGUAGGGGUUCUGAGAGGAUAAUCCCCCACACUGGUACUGAGACACGGACCAGACUCCUACGGGAGGCAGCAGUGAGGAAUAUUGGUCAAUGGGCGCGAGCCUGAACCAGCCAUUCCGCGUGAAGGAAGAAGGCCUUAUGGGUUGUAAACUUCUUUUCUGUAAGAAGAAAAGUCCCGACGUGUCGGGAUGUGACGGUAUUAUAGGAAUAAGCAUCGGCUAACUCCGUG